UCAAGUGUUUAAGGGCGCAUGGUGGAUGCCUUGGCACCAGGAGCCGAUGAAGGACGUGGGAGGCUGCGAUAUGCCUGGGGGAGUUGUCAACCGAGCUGUGAUCCCAGGAUUUCCGAAUGGGGGAACCCAGCACCAGUCAUGUGGUGUUACCCGCGCUUGAAUAUAUAGGGCGUGUGGAGGUAACGCGGGGAAGUGAAACAUCUCAGUACCCGUAGGAAGAGAAAACAAUAGUGAUUCCGUGAGUAGUGGCGAGCGAAAGCGGAUGAGCCUAAACCGGGCGCAUGUGAUAGCCAGCGGGCGUUGUGUGUUCGGGGUUGUGGGGCUUGCUGUGAUCCUCCCGCUGGGGGGUCGGGCAGUGAGAAAGUCGUGUGCUAGCUGAAGGGUCUGGAAAGGCCUGCCGUAGAGGGUGAGAGUCCUGUAGGCGAAAGUGCGCGGCCUGUCUAUGUGAGUUCCCGAGUAGCGGCGGACCCCGGAAAUCUGCCGUGAAUCUGCCAGGACCACCUGGUAAGGCUAAAUACUCCCUGGUGACCGAUAGCGGACUAGUACCGUGAGGGAAAGGUGAAAAGUACCCCGGGAGGGGAGUGAAAGAGUACCUGAAACCGUGUGCCUACAAUCCGUCAGGGCUGCACCGUUGGGUGUGGUGAUGGCGUGCCUUUUGAAGAAUGAGCCUGCGAGUUAGUGGUGCGUGGCGAGGUUAACCUGUGUGGGGGAGCCGUAGCGAAAGCGAGUCCGAUAAGGGCGUUGAGUCGCGUGUCCUAGACCCGAAGCGGGGUGAUCUACCCAUGGGCAGGCUGAAGCGCGGGUAAGACCGUGUGGAGGGCCGAACCCACCAGGGUUGAAAACCUGGGGGAUGACCUGUGGGUAGGGGUGAAAGGCCAAUCAAACUCCGUGAUAGCUGGUUCUCCCCGAAAUGCAUAUAGGUGCAGCGUCGCGUGUUUCUUGCCGGAGGUAGAGCACUGGAUGGCCUAGGGGGCUUACCAGCUUACUGAAGUCAGCCAAACUCCGAAUGCCGGUAAGUGAGAGCGCGGCAGUGAGACGGCGGGGGAUAAGCUUCGUCGUCGAGAGGGAAACAGCCCAGAUCACCAGCUAAGGCCCCUAAGCGUGUGCUAAGUGGAAAAGGAUGUGGGGUUGCCGAGACAACCAGGAGGUUGGCUUAGAAGCAGCCAUCCUUGAAAGAGUGCGUAAUAGCUCACUGGUCAAGUGAUUCCGCGCCGACAAUGUAGCGGGGCUCAAGCACACCGCCGAAGCUGUGGCAUUCGCACGUGUAUCUGGCGAAAUCUUUUGGGGUUUUGUCUAGGUGUGUGGAUGGGUAGGGGAGCGUCGUGCCACGGGUGAAGCAGCCGGGUGACCGAGUUGUGGACGUGGUGCGAGUGAGAAUGCAGGCAUGAGUAGCGAUAGCAGGGUGAGAAACCCUGCCGCCGGAUGUCCAAGGGUUCCAGGGUCAAGCUUUUCUGCCCUGGGUAAGUCGGGGCCUAAGGCGAGGCCGUGAGGCGUAGUCGAUGGAUAACGGGUUGAUAUUCCCGUACCCGCGUAGAAGCGUCCCUGAUGAAACUUUCUGUGCUAACCCUUGAUGUUGCUGGAGGCCUUCGGGUUGAUGGUGGCGGAUCGGGGACCCUGGUUGGGAGUAGUCAAGCGAUGGGGUGACGUAGGAGGGUAGCUGAGCCCGGCCGGUGGUUGUGCCGGGGUAAGCGUGUAGGGCGUGGUGUAGGUAAAUCCGCACUGCAGAUAGCCUGAGACGUGAAGCCGAGCCGAUUUUGGUGAAGUCAGUGAUCCCAUGCUACCGAGAAAAGCCUCUAGCGAGCUUCGAGCGGCCCGUACCCUAAACCGACACAGGUGGACAGGUAGAGAAUACCGAGGCGUUCGGGUGAACUGUGGUUAAGGAACUCGGCAAAUUGCCCCCGUAACUUUGGGAGAAGGGGGGCCGGACGCGUGAACACCCUUGCGGUGGGAGCGUGGUAUGGCCGCAGAGACCAGGGGAAAGCGACUGUUUACUAAAAACACAGGUCCGUGCGAAGUUGUAAGACGAUGUAUACGGACUGACGCCUGCCCGGUGCUGGAACGUUAAGGGGACCGGUUAGUUGCGUUUCGGCGUGGCGAAGCUGAGAACUUAAGCGCCAGUAAACGGCGGUGGUAACUAUAACCAUCCUAAGGUAGCGAAAUUCCUUGUCGGGUAAGUUCCGACCUGCACGAAUGGCGUAACGACUUUCCCGCUGUCUCAACCACAGGCCCGGCGAAAUUGCAUUACGAGUAAAGAUGCUCGUUACGCGCGGCAGGACGGAAAGACCCCGGGACCUUUACUAUAGCUUGGUAUUGGUGUUCGGUUCGGCUUGUGUAGGAUAGGUGGGAGCCGUUGAAUCCUUGACGCUAGUUGAGGGGGAGGCAAUCUUGAAAUACCACUCUGGUCGUACUGGAUGUCUAACCUCGGGCCAUGAUCUGGUUCAGGGACAGUGCCUGGUGGGUAGUUUAACUGGGGCGGUUGCCUCCUAAAGAGUAACGGAGGCGCCCAAAGGUCCGCUCAGCCUGGUUGGCAAUCAGGUGGUGAGUGUAAGUGUAGAAGCGGGCUUGACUGUGAGACUGACGGGUCGAGCAGGGACGAAAGUCGGGACUAGUGAUCCGGCACUUGCGUGUGGAAGCGGUGUCGCUCAUCGGAUAAAAGGUACCCCGGGGAUAACAGGCUGAUCUUCCCCAAGAGUCCAUAUCGACGGGAUGGUUUGGCACCUCGAUGUCGGCUCGUCGCAUCCUGGGGCUGGAGUAGGUCCCAAGGGUUGGGCUGUUCGCCCAUUAAAGCGGUACGCGAGCUGGGUUUAGAACGUCGUGAGACAGUUCGGUCCCUAUCCGCCGCGCGCGUUGCAGAUUUGAGAAGGGCUGUCCCUAGUACGAGAGGACCGGGACGGACGAACCUCUGGUGUGCCAGUUGUCCUGCCAGGGGCACGGCUGGUUGGCUACGUUCGGAAGGGAUAACCGCUGAAAGCAUCUAAGCGGGAAGCCUGCUUCAAGAUGAGGUCUGCUGCCCCGGAGACGGGGGUAAGGCCCCCAGGAGAUGACUGGGUUGAUAGGCCGGAGGUGUAAGCGCGGUAACGUGUUGAGCUGACCGGUACUAAUAGGCCGAGGGCUUGACU
Molecule: ribosomal RNA, 3119 nt
Filed under: Actinocatenispora sera
Lineage: Bacteria; Bacillati; Actinomycetota; Actinomycetes; Micromonosporales; Micromonosporaceae
Description: 23S ribosomal RNA
Rfam family: Bacterial large subunit ribosomal RNA
Source: RNAcentral